GGGAGUUUAGCUCAGCUGGUUCAGAGCAUCUGCCUUACAAGCAGAGGGUCGAUGGUUCGAAUCCGUCAACUCCCACAA
RNAcentral lists this transfer RNA (78 nucleotides) under Chitinophaga sancti. RNAcentral describes it as "tRNA_Val_TAC". It matches the Rfam family "tRNA". From Rfam's summary of the family: Transfer RNA (tRNA) molecules are approximately 80 nucleotides in length. Their secondary structure includes four short double-helical elements and three loops (D, anti-codon, and T loops). Lineage: Bacteria; Pseudomonadati; Bacteroidota; Chitinophagia; Chitinophagales; Chitinophagaceae. The record is from RNAcentral. RNAcentral also lists the same sequence under 3 other names.